This is a long non-coding RNA of Astatotilapia calliptera (eastern happy), 1540 nucleotides long. NCBI's taxonomy places the organism in Eukaryota, Metazoa, Chordata, Actinopteri, Cichliformes, Cichlidae. The record is from Ensembl.
GGGGGGGUGUAUUGUUUUGGUUGCUGAUAUGCACUGUCUGUACAAGAAGUAAGCUUGUAUUUUGGUGAAUUUCAUACAUAGGUGACCACUGUCAUCUACUUAAUGGAUCGUCAAUGAUUGUUUGCCUUCACGUUCACUUUUGUUCUUUGCCAAAGGUACUGUGGUGGUGUCUGUUUUACUCGUUUCAGGGGCAUCUACCUUCAGAGAAGCAGAGCUGUGAAAUGACUCAUUUGGUGAACUGCAUCCUCUGUAGUCUUACACCAGUUUAUACACCAGUUGUGCUGUGUAUAAAUUUUUAUUCUGUUUUAAUGUUUUGAUCAGUGUUAAGACCUGUAACACACUAAUCACAUCAGGUGGUAAAUGUUGGGUUUUUCAUACACUAUACAUUUGUGAAGUUUUGCCAAUGACCAAGAACCACCAGCCGAACAACUAUUGUGCAAAUGUUUGGUGUUGUGUGGUUGUAACUUAUUUUUGCGCAGACCUGACACAGCACCCAGCGCAACACAGAACUCUAAGAUGAUGUGAAAAAGUGCUUUACUCACUUUUCUUUCUUUCUCCAUCUGUAUAAGGUCUAGCACUUUAAUUAUCACAGAAGGGAGGGUGGUUCAAUCAAUGUAACAACUUUCCACGCUUGAACAAUCAGUACUAAAGUGGUUUUAAUGCAUUAGUGUUUCUGUCGUUGACGCAAAUGGAAGUUGUUUUUUUGUUGUUGUUUUUUUUACACUAAACAAGUUUUUGUUUUUUGUCUUUUCUUUCUGGGGUUUUCACUGAAUUUCAUCCCACAUUCAGGAGGACCAGUACAUGAUGUUGAAAGGAUUGUGACUGACUGUAAAUGCAUUUUAAACUGUUACUUCAGACUGGUUAUAGCCUGUGUUGUUUUUUUUGUUGGUUUUUUUUUUUAAUGUACAUAGUGUUUUUAUGUAUAAAUGAGAAAAAAGAACAAAGAAAAUGCCACUACUUGAAAUUUUAUUUGCUUCAUUCCAAAAAAGGCAGUUUUCUUUGUGAAAUUGUUUUUAGUGUGUUCUCAGUAGACAUUUGAUGUGAAUAUGUACUACUUUUUUUUUUUUUUUUUUUAACUUUUUUUUUUUUUCUGUUUUUCAAAUAAAUCAAGACAUCAUGGCGCGUCUAAGUGUCACCUUUGAAGCACUGCACAUUUGCACAGUAAAAUCUUAUUUCACAUUAUCUAGAUCUGGGUUGGUUCUGCAUUCUUUCCCACUCCAGCUCCCAGCAAAAAAGAUGGUAGAUAACAGUGUAAUAAGGCUUGUAUCGUUCUAAGUCUAGGUGCGCAUUGAACGCAAAAGAAAUUGGCCCCCACUCACGCACUACUCAAGAAAGAAAAAACAGGAUCACCCUUUAAAGUGCCGUUUAUUUGCUUCAGCAGUGAGCAAUGCCAAAAGAAUAUACAAAACUCCCUAAAGGUUCCUAUGCUUCCCUAUACAAAAGAAAUCAAACCAAAAGACAGUUCACUUACCUAACAUUCUAAAAGAAAAACAGGAGAAAACUGAAUCAACAAAAAAUGGCUUCUCACGCCUAGCAGGCU